RNAcentral lists this ribosomal RNA (419 nucleotides) under uncultured bacterium. RNAcentral's name for it is "partial 16S ribosomal RNA". It matches the Rfam family "Bacterial small subunit ribosomal RNA", at positions 360 to 776 of the family's 1533-position model. The record is from RNAcentral.
AAUAUUGGUCAAUGGACGGAAGUCUGAACCAGCCAUGCCGCGUGAAGGAAGACUGCCCUAUGGGUUGUAAACUUCUUUUAUACGGGGAUAAACCUAUCUUUGCGAAGAUAGCUGAAGGUACCGUAUGAAUAAGCAUCGGCUAACUCCGUGCCAGCAGCCGCGGUAAUACGGAGGAUGCGAGCGUUAACCGGAUUUAUUGGGUUUAAAGGGUGCGUAGGCGGACAAAUAAGUCAGUGGUGAAAUCACUCAGCUUAACUGAGUAACUGCCAUUGAUACUGUUAGUCUAGAAUGUAAAUGGAGUAGGCGGAAUGAAUCAUGUAGAGGUGACAUUCAUAGAUAUGAUUCAGAACACCGAUCGCGAAGGCAGCUUGCUAAGAUACAAUUGACGCUGAUGCACGAAAGCGUGGGUAGCAAACAGG